UGUGAUUACCUCCUCUGAUUCUAGCUCAUUUUCUGCUUCUAGAGAUACCUCUUGAGGAUCGUCAUUAUUCUCUACUAUUGUUUUCGUAGUAGUGGUUUCUGGGCUACUCAAUACUUUGUCCGAUUAAAGUGCUACUACUUUCAUAUACUCUUUACCUUCUCUCAGUAGAUUAUCUUCUGUGUUGCUGGGAAUACCUAUGCCAAUUUGUCUCGAUGUCACCCAUCAUGCUCAUCAUUUGACUCAUUUA
This 247-nucleotide long non-coding RNA is filed under the name Gossypium barbadense (sea-island cotton). RNAcentral describes it as "long non-coding RNA (GBAR_LNC012640)". The record is from RNAcentral. Lineage: Eukaryota; Viridiplantae; Streptophyta; Magnoliopsida; Malvales; Malvaceae.